This 454-nucleotide ribosomal RNA is filed under the name Lepidura collaris. RNAcentral's name for it is "partial 28S ribosomal RNA". Lineage: Eukaryota; Metazoa; Arthropoda; Insecta; Hymenoptera; Ichneumonidae. The record is from RNAcentral.
CCUGAGAAACCCGAAAKAUCGAAUGGGGAGAUUCAUCGUCAGCGUGUUAUGGCGGUUGGGCGGUUCGCGAUGCCGGAGACUUCGGUCUCGUGGCACGCGUCCGUUCAUCGUUGCCUUUCAUCGUCGGCGUGCACUUCUCCCCUAGUAGGACGUCGCGACCCGUUGGGUGUCGGUUUACGGCCCGGGUGGUAGCCUGUCAUGUGUCACGCUUUAUCGCGCGCGCAUGUGGCAGACCCCCGGUUGUCUGACCAGCUGCCCGGCGGUACUCGCACGGUAUCAAGCCGCAAUUGAACUGCGUCCGGCCCAUCGCAAGCGAGGCCAGUGUUUUUUACCCGGAUGUACGGACCUGGUGCCGUCACCGGGCCUGGCCAGCUGUUGGUUGAUGGUGCUCUGGGACUGGCUUUAAAAUAAUGAUUACCGGUCGGCGACGCUACUGCUUUGGGUACUUYMAGGA